RNAcentral lists this ribosomal RNA (468 nucleotides) under uncultured bacterium. RNAcentral's name for it is "partial 16S ribosomal RNA". It matches the Rfam family "Bacterial small subunit ribosomal RNA", at positions 28 to 507 of the family's 1533-position model. The record is from RNAcentral.
GACGAACGCUGGCGGCGUGCUUAACACAUGCAAGUCGAACGGACAGGCCCUGCUUUUGUGUGGUGCUCGAUUGGCGAACGGGUGAGUAACACGUGAGUAACCUGCCCUUGACUUUGUGAUAACUUCUGGAAACUGGGGCUAAUACCCCAUAUAAUCUCCUGCUGCAUGUUGGGGGUUGGAAAGUUUCGGCGUUUGUGGAUGUACUCGCGGCUUAUCAGCUUGUUUGUGGGGUAGUGGCUUACCCAGGCUUUGACGGGUAGCCUGCCUGAGAGGGUGACCGGCGAAAUAGGGACUGAGAGAAGGCAGAGAUGGCGAAGGGAGGGAGCAGGGGGGAAGAUUGAAAAAGGGGCGGAAGGCGGAUGAAGAAACGCCGCGUGCGGGAUGACGGUGUUAGGGGUGUAAACCGCUUGCGCAUGUGACGAAGCGUGAGUGAAGGUGAUGGGUAAAGAAGCACAGGCUAAAUAAGUG